GACGAACGCUGGCGGCGUGCUUAACACAUGCAAGUCGAACGGAAAGGCCCUGCUUUUGUGGGGUGCUCGAGUGGCGAACUGGUGAGUAACACGUGAGUAACCUGCCCUUGACUUUGGGAUAACUUCAGGAAACUGGGGCUAAUACCGGAUAGGAGCUCCUGCUGCAUGGUGGGGGUUGGAAAGUUUCGGCGGUUGGGGAUGGACUCGCGGCUUAUCAGCUUGUUGGUGGGGUAGUGGCUUACCAAGGCUUUGACGGGUAGCCGGCCUGAGAGGGUGACCGGCCACAUUGGGACUGAGAUACGGCCCAGACUCCUACGGGAGGCAGCAGUGGGGAAUAUUGCACAAUGGGCGGAAGCCUGAUGCAGCAACGCCGCGUGCGGGAUGACGGCCUUCGGGUUGUAAACCGCUUUCGCCCGUGACGAAGCGUGAGUGACGGUAAUGGGUAAAGAAGCACCGGCUAACUACGUG
This 468-nucleotide ribosomal RNA is filed under the name uncultured bacterium. Its description in RNAcentral is "partial 16S ribosomal RNA". It matches the Rfam family "Bacterial small subunit ribosomal RNA", at positions 28 to 507 of the family's 1533-position model. The record is from RNAcentral.